UACGUAGGGUGCAAGCGUUGUCCGGAAUUAUUGGGCGUAAAGAGCUCGUAGGCGGUUUGUCGCGUCUGCUGUGAAAACUCGGGGCUUAACCCCGGGCCUGCAGUGGGUACGGGCAGACUAGAGUGCGGUAGGGGAGACUGGAAUUCCUGGUAUAGCGGUGAAAUGCGCAGAUAUCAGGAGGAACACCGGUGGCGAAGGCGGGUCUCUGGGCCGUAACUGACGCUGAGGAGCGAAAGCGUGGGGAGCGAACAGG
Molecule: ribosomal RNA, 253 nt
Filed under: uncultured bacterium
Lineage: Bacteria
Description: partial 16S ribosomal RNA
Rfam family: Bacterial small subunit ribosomal RNA
Source: RNAcentral